ACUGCAGUCGAGCGGUAGCACAGAGAGCUUGCUCUCGGGUGACGAGCGGCGGACGGGUGAGUAAUGUCUGGGAAACUGCCUGAUGGAGGGGGAUAACUACUGGAAACGGUAGCUAAUACCGCAUAACGUCGCAAGACCAAAGUGGGGGACCUUCGGGCCUCAUGCCAUCAGAUGUGCCCAGAUGGGAUUAGCUAGUAGGUGGGGUAACGGCUCACCUAGGCGACGAUCCCUAGCUGGUCUGAGAGGAUGACCAGCCACACUGGAACUGAGACACGGUCCAGACUCCUACGGGAGGCAGCAGUGGGGAAUAUUGCACAAUGGGCGCAAGCCUGAUGCAGCCAUGCCGCGUGUGUGAAGAAGGCCUUCGGGUUGUAAAGCACUUUCAGCGGGGAGGAAGGCGUUAAGGUUAAUAACCUUGGCGAUUGACGUUACCCGCAGAAGAAGCACCGGCUAACUCCGUGCCAGCAGCCGCGGUAAUACGGAGGGUGCAAGCGUUAAUCGGAAUUACUGGGCGUAAAGCGCACGCAGGCGGUCUGUCAAGUCGGAUGUGAAAUCCCCGGGCUCAACCUGGGAACUGCAUUCGAAACUGGCAGGCUAGAGUCUUGUAGAGGGGGGUAGAAUUCCAGGUGUAGCGGUGAAAUGCGUAGAGAUCUGGAGGAAUACCGGUGGCGAAGGCGGCCCCCUGGACAAAGACUGACGCUCAGGUGCGAAAGCGUGGGGAGCAAACAGGAUUAGAUACCCUGGUAGUCCACGCCGUAAACGAUGUCGAUUUGGAGGUUGUGCCCUUGAGGCGUGGCUUCCGGAGCUAACGCGUUAAAUCGACCGCCUGGGGAGUACGGCCGCAAGGUUAAAACUCAAAUGAAUUGACGGGGGCCCGCACAAGCGGUGGAGCAUGUGGUUUAAUUCGAUGCAACGCGAAGAACCUUACCUGGUCUUGACAUCCACAGAACUUUCCAGAGAUGGAUUGGUGCCUUCGGGAACUGUGAGACAGGUGCUGCAUGGCUGUCGUCAGCUCGUGUUGUGAAAUGUUGGGUUAAGUCCCGCAACGAGCGCAACCCUUAUCCUUUGUUGCCAGCGGUCCGGCCGGGAACUCAAAGGAGACUGCCAGUGAUAAACUGGAGGAAGGUGGGGAUGACGUCAAGUCAUCAUGGCCCUUACGACCAGGGCUACACACGUGCUACAAUGGCAUAUACAAAGAGAAGCGACCUCGCGAGAGCAAGCGGACCUCAUAAAGUAUGUCGUAGUCCGGAUUGGAGUCUGCAACUCGACUCCAUGAAGUCGGAAUCGCUAGUAAUCGUAGAUCAGAAUGCUACGGUGAAUACGUUCCCGGGCCUUGUACACACCGCCCGUCACACCAUGGGAGUGGGUUGCAAAAGAAGUAGGUAGCUUAACCUUCGGGAGGGCGCUUACCACUUUGUGAUUCAUGACUGGGGUGAAGUC
This 1440-nucleotide ribosomal RNA is filed under the name Klebsiella pneumoniae. Its description in RNAcentral is "bacterial SSU rRNA". It matches the Rfam family "Bacterial small subunit ribosomal RNA". Lineage: Bacteria; Pseudomonadati; Pseudomonadota; Gammaproteobacteria; Enterobacterales; Enterobacteriaceae. The record is from RNAcentral.